This 213-nucleotide ribosomal RNA is filed under the name uncultured bacterium. Its description in RNAcentral is "partial 16S ribosomal RNA". It matches the Rfam family "Bacterial small subunit ribosomal RNA", at positions 524 to 733 of the family's 1533-position model. The record is from RNAcentral.
UACAGAGGUCUCAAGCGUUGUUCGGAUUCAUUGGGCGUAAAGGGUGCGUAGGCGGCGCGGUAAGUCGGGUGUGAAAUCUCGGAGCUUAACUCCGAAACUGCAUUCGAUACUGCCGUGCUUGAGGACUGGAGAGGAGACUGGAAUUUACGGUGUAGCGGUGAAAAUGCGUAGAUAUCGUAAGGAAGACCAGUGGCGAAAGGCGGGGUCUCUGGG